RNAcentral lists this ribosomal RNA (427 nucleotides) under uncultured bacterium. RNAcentral's name for it is "partial 16S ribosomal RNA". It matches the Rfam family "Bacterial small subunit ribosomal RNA", at positions 355 to 774 of the family's 1533-position model. The record is from RNAcentral.
UGGGGAAUAUUGCACAAUGGGCGCAAGCCUGAUGCAGCCAUGCCGCGUGUAUGAAGAAGGCCUUCGGGUUGUAAAGUACUUUCAGCGAGGAGGAAGGCGGUAAGGUUAAUAACCUUAUCGAUUGACGUUACUCGCAGAAGAAGCACCGGCUAACUCCGUGCCAGCAGCCGCGGUAAUACGAAGGGUGCAAGCGUUAAUCGGAAUUACUGGGCGUAAAGCGCACGCAGGCGGUCUGUCAAGUCGGAUGUGAAAUCCCCGGGCUCAACCUGGGAACUGCAUUCGAAACUGGCAGGCUAGAGUCUUGUAGAGGGGGGUAGAAUUCCAGGUGUAGCGGUGAAAUGCGUAGAGAUCUGGAGGAAUACCGGUGGCGAAGGCGGCCCCCUGGACAAAGACUGACGCUCAGGUGCGAAAGCGUGGGGAGCAAACA